GGAAGGGRUGUAUUUAUUAGAUUAAAAACCAAUGCCCUUCGGGGCUCUGUGGUGAUUCAUAAUAACUUCUCGAAUCGCACGGCCUUGCGCCGGCGAUGGUUCAUUCAAAUUUCUGCCCUAUCAACUUUCGACGGCUGGGUCUUGGCCAGCCAUGGUGACAACGGGUAACGGAGGGUUAGGGCUCGACCCCGGAGAAGGAGCCUGAGAAACGGCUACUACAUCCAAGGAAGGCAGCAGGCGCGCAAAUUACCCAAUCCCGACUCGGGGAGGUAGUGACAAUAAAUACUGAUACAGGGCUCUUUUGGGUCUUGUAAUUGGAAUGAGUACAAUUUAAAUCCCUUAACGAGGAACAAUUGGAGGGCAAGUCUGGUGCCAGCAGCCGCGGUAAUUCCAGCUCCAAUAGCGUAUAUUAAAGUUGUUGCAGUUAAAAAGCUCGUAGUUGAACCUUGGGCCUGGCUGGCCGGUCCGCCUCACCGCGUGCACUGGUCCGACCGGGUCUUUCCUUCUGAGGAGCCGCAUGCCCUUCACUGGGUGUGUCGGGGAACCAGGACUUUUAC
RNAcentral lists this ribosomal RNA (557 nucleotides) under uncultured Pezizomycotina. RNAcentral's name for it is "SSU rRNA". It matches the Rfam family "Eukaryotic small subunit ribosomal RNA", at positions 196 to 766 of the family's 1831-position model. Lineage: Eukaryota; Fungi; Ascomycota. The record is from RNAcentral.